GACGAACGCUGGCGGCGUGCUUAACACAUGCAAGUCGAACGAAGAGCGAUGGACGCUUGCUUCUAUCAAUCUUAGUGGCGCACGGGUGAGUAACGCGUAAUCAACCUGCCCUUCAGAGGGGGACAACAGUUGGAAACGACUGCUAAUACCGCAUACGAUCUAAUCUCGGCAUCGAGGAUAGAUGAAAGGUGGCCUCUACAUGUAAGCUAUCACUGAAGGAGGGGAUUGCGUCUGAUUAGCUAGUUGGAGGGGUAACGGCCCACCAAGGCGAUGAUCAGUAGCCGGUCUGAGAGGAUGAACGGCCACAUUGGGACGGAGACACGGCCCAGACUCCUACGGGAGGCAGCAGUGGGGAAUCUUCCGCAAUGGACGAAAGUCUGACGGAGCAACGCCGCGUGAGUGAUGACGGCCUUCGGGUUGUAAAGCUCUGUUAAGCGGGACGAAAGGCCUUCUUGCGAAUAGGGAGAAGGAUUGACGGUACCGGAAUAGAAAGCCACGGCUAACUACGUG
Molecule: ribosomal RNA, 510 nt
Filed under: uncultured bacterium
Lineage: Bacteria
Description: partial 16S ribosomal RNA
Rfam family: Bacterial small subunit ribosomal RNA
Source: RNAcentral